UGGGGAAUAUUGCGCAAUGGGGGAAACCCUGACGCAGCAACGCCGCGUGAGUGACGAAGGCCUUUGGGUUGUAAAGCUCUUUCGGCUGGGAAAAAGGGCUAGUGUGUUAAUAGCACAUUAGUUUGAUGGUACCAGAAUAAGAAGCACCGGCUAACUUCGUGCCAGCAGCCGCGGUAAUACGAAGGGUGCAAGCGUUGUUCGGAAUUAUUGGGCGUAAAGGGUUUGUAGGCUGAGAGAUAAGUCAAGUGUGAAAUCCCCGAGCUUAACUUGGGACGUGCAUUUGAAACUGUUUUUCUUGAGUCUUGGAGAGGGUGGUGGAAUUGCUGGUGUAGGAGUGACAUCCGUAGAGAUCAGCAGGAACAUCGGAGGCGAAAGCGACCACCUGGCCAAAGACUGACGC
This 400-nucleotide ribosomal RNA is filed under the name uncultured bacterium. RNAcentral describes it as "bacterial SSU rRNA". It matches the Rfam family "Bacterial small subunit ribosomal RNA", at positions 355 to 746 of the family's 1533-position model. The record is from RNAcentral.